ACAAAUUGACCGCGCACGCGUCAUCCAAUCCGUCGACGACGGCAUCGUCCGGCGUCGACCAAGUCCUUGACCACCACCUCAGGGUAGGUGGCUCAGGGUAAAAGAACCCACGGCGCCGAAGGCGUCAAGGAACACUGUGCCUUACCCGAGGGCAUGACUAGCUUGCUGGUUGUCCUUCGGGUUGCAAUGCUAUUUAAUCAACACGACUCUCGGCAACGGAUAUCUCGGCUCUCGCAUCGAUGAAGAACGUAGCGAAAUGCGAUACCUGGUGUGAAUUGCAGAAUCCCGCGAACCAUCGAGUCUUUGAACGCAAGUUGCGCCCGAGGCCACUCGGUUGAGGGCACGCCUGCCUGGGCGUCACGCCACAACACGCUUUCAACCCCAUCAUUGGGGUUUGGGAUGCGGCAUAUGACCCCUCGUCUUGCAAGAGCCGGUGGGUUCAAGAUCGGGCUGCCGAUGUAUCGCGUCGGACACAGCGCAUGGUGGGCGUACUCGCUUUAUCAACGCAGUGCAUACGAUGCGUAGUCGGAACCAUGGCCUCUAAAUGAUCCAGACGACGAAACGCUUGUCGCUUCGACCGCGACCCCAGGUCAGGCGGGACUACCCGCUGAGUUUAAGCAUAUCAAUA
Molecule: unclassified non-coding RNA, 628 nt
Filed under: Bromus pumilio
Lineage: Eukaryota; Viridiplantae; Streptophyta; Magnoliopsida; Poales; Poaceae
Description: sequence contains ITS1, 5.8S rRNA gene, ITS2
Rfam family: 5.8S ribosomal RNA (bases 205-360)
Source: RNAcentral